Long non-coding RNA from Triticum dicoccoides, 648 nucleotides. RefSeq lists it as uncharacterized. The record is from RefSeq and is a predicted model, not a curated record. Lineage: Eukaryota; Viridiplantae; Streptophyta; Magnoliopsida; Poales; Poaceae. The transcript is spliced from 3 exons.
GCGGCCUUCUCUCCCCGGCGCUUGAGGUACAGCAGCGGCUGCGGCACUUCUCGGCCCAGCCGGAUCCGGUGCAGGUCGCCGGCAUCACGCGCCGCGUGCCGUGAUUCUGGAUCGGGCGCAGAUCUUGCCACCUAUCCUCCUCUCUCUCUCCCAUGUCGCCAUUGUUGCAAGGAGCAGGGGAGAUAGGUGCCGAGGACAAGAAGCAACGAGUUGGUCAGGGUGGGCUUGACCUGCUGGGAAGAUGGAGGAGGCCGUCGUGGUUCGUCAUGGAGGCGGCGCCGCCGGCAAGCUGGUUGAGCACAGAGGAAUGAGGAAUGGAUACAUGAGGCAUGGCGUAAGCGUAGGGGUCAGCCAGGGCACGACGCAAGAGUCUGCCCAUCUCCUCUCAAACCGCUGGAACUGAUGGAUAUUGACAUGGGUAACAAAAUAGUUGAAAGAUUUUGUACCGACGAGGCUCUUGAGACUACAAACAUUUCUUCACUCCUUGUACGAAAGGAUUCUAGGACUAAGUUGUAGGAUUUUAUAUUUUAGUCGGAUAUUCCUUCUGUUAAUAUGUGCUCCUGUGCAAUUUUUCAUAGGCUUCUCUUUCCUUUUUCUGGUUACGAUUUACAAAGCUGAGCAAUAGUUUCUCUACUAAUAUAGCUUGUG